AACGAACGCUGGCGGCAUGCCUAACACAUGCAAGUCGAACGAGACCUUCGGGUCUAGUGGCGCACGGGUGCGUAACGCGUGGGAACCUGCCCUUAGGUUCGGAAUAACUCCCCGAAAGGGGUGCUAAUACAGGAUAAUGUCUUCGGACCAAAGAUUUAUCGCCUUUGGAUGGGCCCGCGUUGGAUUAGCUAGUUGGUAGGGUAAAAGCCUACCAAGGCGACGAUCCAUAGCUGGUGUGAGAGGAUGAUCAGCCACACUGGGACUGAGACACGGCCCAGACUCCUACGGGAGGCAGCAGUGGGGAAUAUUGGACAAUGGGCGAAAGCCUGAUCCAGCAAUGCCGCGUGAGUGAUGAAGGCCUUAGGGUUGUAAAGCUCUUUUACCCGGGAUGAUAAUGACAGUACCGGGAGAAUAAGCUCCGGCUAACUCCGUG
Molecule: ribosomal RNA, 433 nt
Filed under: uncultured bacterium
Lineage: Bacteria
Description: partial 16S ribosomal RNA
Rfam family: Bacterial small subunit ribosomal RNA
Source: RNAcentral